Molecule: long non-coding RNA, 648 nt
Organism: Alosa alosa (allis shad)
Lineage: Eukaryota; Metazoa; Chordata; Actinopteri; Clupeiformes; Clupeidae
Exons: 3
Source: RefSeq, a predicted model, not a curated record
CAAUUUCCAGGCCAUUCCCCAAUUUUCGACUUCGAUGAGAGACAACACAUGCAGGCACGGCUGUUUCGGUAAAGUAAGGCAUGGGCUGAUUGACAAUGCGGUUCAUCUCACAUUUUGUGACCGAACUAAUCCAGUAAAUUCCUACCAGACGGCUCUGCAUCUCAGUGGAGGCAGUUUCUUUUCCAGUAUCAAACUUCUGUUGCUACGAGGAGGGGAGAAAAAAGAAAAGAUUAACAACAAAAGAAGAUUUCCUCUCUCUUUUAAUUGACUUUAAUUACCAUAAGGACUGUAACAAUUGUGGCUUACUUUAAUGUUGCUUGUAUGGAGAUUAAGGAGUGGAAUAUGAAACAUCAUCAUUAAUCUUCAUUCUCAGGGAAUGGAAUGCACCAGGUCCUUUCUCUGGUUCCAGACUGUGGCUAGUUCAAGAUACCAUGGAGGGUUUUGUUCACCAAACAAACAAGUGUUUUACGGGAUAUCAAACCUCAUUUAUGUGUCUCAUCACAUGUUUAACGGCACCUAAUGAUAAUAACAAUAACUAUAAUGAGAAGAAGUGUGUGUGUGUGUGUGUGUGUGUGUGUGUGUGUGUGUGUUUUAUGUGUAUGUGUGUAUGAUGAGAAAAGGGAGCAGAAACAAACCACAUACCAGUAG